Molecule: transfer RNA, 77 nt
Filed under: Anaerolineae bacterium
Lineage: Bacteria; Bacillati; Chloroflexota; Anaerolineae
Description: tRNA-His
Rfam family: tRNA
About the family: Transfer RNA (tRNA) molecules are approximately 80 nucleotides in length.
Source: RNAcentral
GUGGGCGUGGCCUAAUUGGUCAAGGCUCCUGACUGUGACUCAGGCAAUUGUGGGUUCAAGUCCCACCGUCCACCCCA